GUCCCCAUCGUCUAGAGGCCCAGGACGUCGCCCUCUCACGGCGGCAACAGGGGUUCGAAUCCCCUUGGGGACGCCA
This 76-nucleotide transfer RNA is filed under the name Alphaproteobacteria bacterium RIFOXYD12_FULL_60_8. RNAcentral describes it as "tRNA-Glu". It matches the Rfam family "tRNA". Rfam says of the family: Transfer RNA (tRNA) molecules are approximately 80 nucleotides in length. Their secondary structure includes four short double-helical elements and three loops (D, anti-codon, and T loops). Further hydrogen bonds mediate the characteristic L-shaped molecular structure. tRNAs have two regions of fundamental functional importance: the anti-codon, which is responsible for specific mRNA codon recognition, and the 3' end, to which the tRNAs corresponding amino acid is attached (by aminoacyl-tRNA synthetases). tRNAs cope with the degeneracy of the genetic code in two manners: having more than one tRNA (with a specific anti-codon) for a particular amino acid; and 'wobble' base-pairing, i.e. permitting non-standard base-pairing at the 3rd anti-codon position. The record is from RNAcentral. Lineage: Bacteria; Pseudomonadati; Pseudomonadota; Alphaproteobacteria.